GACGAACGCUGGCGGCGUGCUUAACACAUGCAAGUCGAACGGUGAAAGCGGAGCUUGCUCCGCUGGAUCAGUGGCGAACGGGUGAGUAACACGUGGGCAACCUGCCCCUCACUUCGGAAUAACUCCGGGAAACCGGGGCUAAUACCGGAUAUGACCUCCUUGGGCAUCCUUGGAGGUGGAAAGUUUUUCGGUGAGGGAUGGGCCCGCGGCCUAUCAGCUUGUUGGCGAGGUAGUGGCUCACCAAGGCGACGACGGGUAGCCGGCCUGAGAGGGCGACCGGCCACACUGGGACUGAGACACGGCCCAGACUCCUACGGGAGGCAGCAGUGGGGAAUAUUGCGCAAUGGGCGAAAGCCUGACGCAGCAACGCCGCGUGCGGGAUGACGGCCUUCGGGUUGUAGACCGCUUUCAGCAGGGAAGAAGCCGCGAGGUGACGGUACCUGCAGAAGAAGCACCGGCUAACUACGUGCCAGCCGCCGCCGUAA
This 485-nucleotide ribosomal RNA is filed under the name uncultured bacterium. RNAcentral describes it as "partial 16S ribosomal RNA". It matches the Rfam family "Bacterial small subunit ribosomal RNA", at positions 28 to 523 of the family's 1533-position model. The record is from RNAcentral.